CCUANGGGGGGCAGCAGUCUAGAGGCUUCGGCAAUGGGGGAAACCCUGACCGAGCGACGCCGCGUGUGGGAUGAAGGCGUUUUCGUUGUAAACCACUGUGUAAGGGGAAGAAUGCCCGGAUGGCGAAUCCGGGAGCGACGGUACCUUUACAGAAAGCCCCGGCUAACUCCGUGCCAGCAGCCGCGGUAAUACGGGGGGGGCAAGCGUUGUUCGGAUUUACUGGGCGUAAAGGGAGUGUAGGCGGUUGGUCAAGUCGGAUGUGAAAGCUUCACCACUUAACGGGAAGAGGUCAUCCGAAACUGGCCGGCUAGAGUAGGGUAGAGGCAAGCGGAAUUCCUGGUGUAGCGGUGGAAUGUGUAGAUAUCAGGAAGAACAUCGGUGGCGAAGGCGGCUUGCUGGGCCCUUACUGACGCUGAGACUCGAAAGCGUGGGGAGCAAACGGGAUUAGAUACCCGUNUANUC
RNAcentral lists this ribosomal RNA (462 nucleotides) under uncultured bacterium. RNAcentral's name for it is "bacterial SSU rRNA". It matches the Rfam family "Bacterial small subunit ribosomal RNA", at positions 338 to 795 of the family's 1533-position model. The record is from RNAcentral.